Molecule: long non-coding RNA, 4878 nt
Filed under: Coffea arabica (coffee)
Lineage: Eukaryota; Viridiplantae; Streptophyta; Magnoliopsida; Gentianales; Rubiaceae
Description: long non-coding RNA (CARA_LNC003444)
Source: RNAcentral
UGUCCACAAGUCAAUCAAAAUUCAAUCUCAAGCGGCUGCUUUAUCCUGUAGAAAGACAGAACAGGAAUGGAAAUUUAGUCAACUUUGGAAAAUCACAGAUAUUCAUAGGAAUUGAGAACAAUUCUGAAAUUUUCACACUUAAAAUAACUAUGAGUCUAGUUUCAAAUGUAACAAAUAGAACUCAAUUUGGGAUUUUCUACAUCAAGAUAUAACAGAUUUCCCCAAACUAGUCAAAGUCUCCUGCAAAAACAAAUUUCAACAGCAUUUUCUUUGUGUUUACCGAUUUUUCCAGCCAUUACCAUGGCAUAACUUCACCAUAAAACAGCCCUAAAUCAAGCACAAAAGUAUAGAAACAAAGGCCUCUUAUUUUAGGCCUUAAAACCAUCUAAAUUAAGUGCAUAUCCAUCAAAUAAUCACCUAUCGAAGCUGGAAAUCAUAACCCUAAGCUGGAAAAUUCCUAUUCUAAGCUGGAAAUUCACAAACAAGAAUAGAAAUCCCUCAAGUAACGCCAAAAUUGCAUGUAUAAGCAGGAAAACCUUUAUGGCAGGUUUACAACUCCAUAGUAAAGCUAGAAAUACUCAACAAAAAUCUGGAAAUAACUAAUAAAAGCUGAAUAUAACAGCCCACAACCUAAAACUACAAGAUCAGCCACAAAACCUUCUAUAAACAGGCCAAAACUCCAACCAAAUGCAAGAUUAAAGAGAUAAAGUAGUUCUCAACCAAGAAUACCUUCAAUCCUCAAGAUGCGUAGCAAAAUACAGCUUGCUUUCUCCCUAAAUAACUCCACUCCAACCCACCUUUCUUCCUUGUGGUAACUUCGUAUGAAUUGGUUUUGGAUUGGAGGUUGAUUUCCUACUAGUUCUAACUUGGAAUCAAAGUGAAAUUGGAUAAGCUUUUCUUUCUUUUCUUUUCUCUAAGGUUUGGCCAUCAUGGAGGAUAAAUGAAUGAAAUUGUGAUCAAUUGGAAGAUAAGGAUGGAAAGAAAGUCUUAGUCAAAGUUGGCUUAAGUGCCAACACUUGGCAUCCCUCAACUUGUCUAUUUUUUUUCUUGUUUUCUUUCUUUUCCUCUUGUUUUUUUUGGUCAAAAAUUUUGGCUGGACUUAGGGUUAAAUUAGGGAAGAUCAUAUGAAAUAAAAACAAGGAGAUUAAGGUAAGAAAAUAUUGGUCAAAUUGUGUACUCAACUGCUAACAAACGGCGCACGUCGGUUCAAGUCUACUUUCUUAACUCUCUUGUAUUUUUGUUUUAACUUAUGAUUCACUAACUUAUCCUCAGCACUUUUAAUCACACACUUCCUCUUAUUUAAUACCCGCUCUUAUCCACCAAAUUUAGUGCACACACCUCACCAAUCGAUCACACUACCAAAAUGCACUAAAACCCUAACUUACUCUAACUUUAAAAGUAAAAGAAAAACUCUUGACUCAACUAAUGAAAUCACCAUGAAAUUUAGGGCUAGUAAAUAGUUAAAUAGUCAAGUAAAGAAAUAUAGAAGGAAAUAUAAAUUAAUGUUUCAAAAAAUGGGAGCAAAUUCUAAAGGAAUUUUCGGGUCCUCGCAGUAAUGGUUUCUUCUAUCAUACUCUCUAGUUUCGUUUCCCAACUUUAGACUGGAGGUUGGUUGUUUUCUUCUAAUAGUGGUGCGUAUAUCUUAUGUAUGUUUUGCUAAGCUUCAUGAGAUAUAUAUAUAUGUAAUUUUCCUCUUUUGAUUUCUUGCACCUUUUGAAUCCAAGUGCUUUCUUUUCAUACUAAUAACUUACUUGAACCAUAGCCUUAGAAUGCACUUGGACCUUCUUCGAUUGGAUUUUAAGUUUGUCUUUGAGUUUUGUGUUUUGAGAGGCCGAAUUUAGAUAGGUGUAUGGCUCAUGAUUAAGGCUAAAGUGAGCACCUUGUCGCGGCCCAUUUUUUAUAAGAAAAAUAAAUGGUUUUAAAAAGUGAAUUUUUUGAUUGAAAAUAUGAUUUUUGAUUUAAAAGAAAAUGGGCCAAAAUGGGGUUUGUAAUGCGACGAUUUGGGCCCAAAUUAUAGUUUAAAAAAGGUUUUUGAAAUAAAAAUCGGAGUCGCCACUUGGUAUUGAGUUAUGGUGUACCAAGUCACCUAAAAGUGAAUUUUUUUUUAAAGAAAAAAUAGAAAAACCAUUUUUAAACGACUCCAAAUCUACGUAAAUCAAAGGAAAAGGUUCGGGAGUCACAUUUGAAGAAAGGGAAGGCAAGGAUAAAAAUCCGAGGCACCCUUUCGACCUAACCAAGGUUAGUUGCGUGAUUUAGUCAAAGAUUUUCUUAUUCUUAACCUAAAAAUUUAUCACAUUUGUAUGUACUAUGUGAAUGCGAACCCUAGACCUAGGAGGGUGUCGAGGGGUCGAAAUUUCUCUUCAAAGCUCAAUUGGUGCUAAUCACAUUAAUUGUGAUGCCCAAUGUGGACUCUUUGGAGAGAUCACGAAUGAUGCAAAAAUAUGAGACUCUAAGAAAAGAAAAGGAAAAUAAAAAUAAUUAUACAAAUAUACGUGGCCUAAAGGAGUGCAUCAUGUCGGGUACGGGGGAUUAUUGUUCGUGACUCAAUUUUCCCUUUUAUAGAGGGAAUACGAGCAUGCUAAGGUUAGAAAGCCAAACUCGUCCAUAUCCCAUAUUCAAGGGGUUACUCCCUAACCUAUGCACACAAAUGAGCUUAGUAACUAGAAUGAAAUGCAAAAAACCUAUGAUCAUACUUCAAAUGUGGGAAAAGGGAGAAGGGUCAUGCAAAAAUGUAAAAAUACUAAAAAGAAAAAAAAAUGCAUGAACAUGAGAUGAAGGCAUGCGAAUGUACUAGCGAGGGACGGUUCUAUUGGAUCUAGCAUUGGACUAGUCCUUCACUAGCGCUCUCUCACAAGCAUUGGACUUGUAAGAGCUCGAGGGGAAGACCAUGACUAGCGUUGGACUAGCCACGGUUUCGUGCAUUUGCAUCCAUCAUACAUACAUAAGGAAAUAUGCAUAAUUAAAGCGAGUAGGCAUGUGAGCACGUAAUUCACAUAACACAUAACACAUAAGCAUGCAUAUCCAGAUGCCAAACCCUAAGAAAGAAAUUAAACACAUAGCACAUACGCAUGCAAAUCACACAAAGAAAAAAUAAAGAAAACCCUAACUAUUACAUUAGGAGGGGGAAGCCUACUACAAUCUAAAAGGAGAAAUAAGAAGGAAUAAAACAAUUAAAUCCCUAACUAUUACAAUUUUGGCAUUCGAGUGCCUCCCAAAAUAAUCAAAAUUAAAUUUAAAAUUAAUACGCAAAAUUAAAACAAAUAAAUAAAUAAAUGAAAUAGAAAUAAAUAAAAAUAAUAAAAAAAUUCAAAAAUCAUGCAAUUACACACAUAAAAUCACAUAGGAGCACAUAGAGAGAUUUAAAAUAACACAACAAGAUACCUCUCUUGACGUAGUAACUAAUUGGGGUGUGGAUUUGCCCUAUUUAACUCCAAAAUUAGCAAAAAUCAUCAAGGCACCAAUUUAAUUAACAAAUAAUUCAUAAAAAUGGAAAUAAUCAUGAAGUCAGUCAAUUGAAGCGUUUAAAUGGAACAUAAUUCAUAAUUAAAGAGGAAAAGCAACUUCUAUUUAAGACAACAAAUCUAUUAGGGACCUAAUUGCAAAAAUUAAGAAAGUUUUAGGGGUUAAUUUGUAAUUAUCAUAAAAGAUUAUGGGUCAAAAUUGAAGAAAAUAAAAGUCCAGGUACCUAUUUGAAAUCAAAUUAGGGACCUAAUCGAAAGAAAAAAAGGUUUUAGGGCCGUAACAUAAUUAAUGAAAAGUAAAGGGACCAUUAUGCAAAACGUUUUCUGGUUCCUUGGUGAAUCAGGCCACUGGGCCACUUUAUAUCUUUACUUGGGCCGAAACUACCUUAGCCCAAGGCAAAAUCCAAGCAAAAUGUACGGGCCAGACCGUAAUCUUACCCCAACAAAUCCAAUCAAAAGGGUAGGCUUUUACCUCCUAAGCCCAAACGGAAAACCCAAGUAAAUUAAACCAAACCCAUUUACUAAACCCAACCAGAUCCUCAACAUUAAUCUGCCCCAAAAGCCCUAAGAAAAUAUUAACCCAAGUCUUAAUCGAUUUUACUAAUCCAAGAAGGUAAUAAAUCUUAAAAAUAAAGUUGGACCUUAAUCAUGCAUUAAAUCCCAAGAUUAAUCUACACAACAAGUCACAUAUCACAAUCAGAAGAAGAUUAAAAUUUUAAAAGGGCAAAAUUAGUUCAAUUGCGAAAGUAUUUGGGCCAUAGUGAAAUUAAUUACAAUUUGGGGUCAAAAUGCAAUUUGAGAAAAAGAACAUGCAGCCUGUACGAAGAAACUUCUUCUUCCUCAGCAUCUUUCCUUCUGCAACUUUCUUUUCACCAUUUCUGGGUUUCAUCUUCACCAAACGCACGAAACAAGUUCCCAAACAAACUAGCUCUUAUAACUUAUGUACUUUAUUUCACAACCCAAUGCUAAACAUAAACAGGAACAGGCCAUAAUCACAAAAAUAAUCUGAAGUCAAACAUGGUAGAAACAUGAAACAAACCCAGCAGCAAAAAAGUUCCAAACCCACGUCCAAAGAGUCUUGUUCUUCAUAAAAUGUGUUAAACCAAGCAAGAAAGAGCGUUAUGGUUACCUGAGGAAACCUUAGAACCAUAUUUGAGCGGGAAAAACAUCGAUGGAAACAGAUCUGACGGAGCUUUACACCAGGUUGCGGGUUGAUCCACGUGUGUUGAAGCUGCAACUUUGGAGCUUCGAUUUGGAUGACUUACGGUCAUCUUUUCCACCGAGUCUCUGAACAAAAGUCGCCCCCCUCACGUCGUAGAUUUAGCAGAAAUCAAAAUUUUCUUAAACCGAGCUUAAAUGGAGGAGAUAUUUGAGUCAAAAGAUGGUUGAAAAUCAGCUCUUUUUGCGAAAAUUUUUC